Molecule: ribosomal RNA, 301 nt
Filed under: uncultured bacterium
Lineage: Bacteria
Description: partial 16S ribosomal RNA
Rfam family: Bacterial small subunit ribosomal RNA
Source: RNAcentral
CAGUAGCCGCGGUAAUACGGAGGGUGCAAGCGUUACUCGGAAUCACUGGGCGUAAAGGACGCGUAGGCGGAUUAUCAAGUCUCUUGUGAAAUCUAACGGCUUAACCGUUAAACUGCUUGGGAAACUGAUAAUCUAGAGUAAGGGAGAGGCAGAUGGAAUUCUUGGUGUAGGGGUAAAAUCCGUAGAGAUCAAGAAGAAUACCUAUUGCGAAGGCGAUCUGCUGGAACUUAACUGACGCUAAUGCGUGAAAGCGUGGGGAGCAAACAGGAUUAGAUACCCCCGUAGUCCCUGUCUCUUAUAA